CGCUGGCGGCGUGCCUAAUACAUGCAAGUCGAACGGUCUUUCUAUGGAAGCUUGCUUCCACUGAGAAGAUAGUGGCGAACGGGUGAGUAACACGUGGGUAACCUGCCCAUAAGAGGGGGAUAACAUCCGGAAACGGGUGCUAAUACCGCAUAGUUUUCUUGAUCGCAUGAUUGAGAAAGGAAAGACGGCCUUUGUGCUGUCGCUUAUGGAUGGACCCGCGGCGUAUUAGUUAGUUGGUGAGGUAACGGCUCACCAAGACGAUGAUACGUAGCCGACCUGAGAGGGUGAUCGGCCACAUUGGGACUGAGACACGGCCCAAACUCCUACGGGAGGCAGCAGUAGGGAAUCUUCCGCAAUGGACGAAAGUCUGACGGAGCAACGCCGCGUGAGUGAAGAAAGGUUUUCGGAUCGUAAAACUCUGUUGUCAGAGAAGAACAAGUUGGAGAGUAACUGCUCCAGCCUUGACGGUAUCUGACCAGAAAGCCACGGCUAACUACGUGCCAGCCGCAGC
Molecule: ribosomal RNA, 511 nt
Filed under: uncultured bacterium
Lineage: Bacteria
Description: bacterial SSU rRNA
Rfam family: Bacterial small subunit ribosomal RNA
Source: RNAcentral